UACGUAGGGGGCCAGCGUUGUUCGGAUUUACUGGGCGUAAAGGGCGCGUAGGCGGUCAGUGCAAGUCAGUUGUGAAAUCUCCGGGCUUAACUCGGAAAGGUCAACUGAUACUGCUCGACUAGAGUGCGGAAGGGGCAACUGGAAUUCUUGGUGUAGCGGUGAAAUGCGUAGAUAUCAAGAGGAACACCUGCGGCGAAGGCGGGUUGCUGGGCCGACACUGACGCUGAUGCACGAAAGCUAGGGGAGCAAACAGG
RNAcentral lists this ribosomal RNA (254 nucleotides) under uncultured bacterium. Its description in RNAcentral is "partial 16S ribosomal RNA". It matches the Rfam family "Bacterial small subunit ribosomal RNA", at positions 524 to 776 of the family's 1533-position model. The record is from RNAcentral.